RNAcentral lists this ribosomal RNA (301 nucleotides) under uncultured bacterium. RNAcentral's name for it is "partial 16S ribosomal RNA". It matches the Rfam family "Bacterial small subunit ribosomal RNA", at positions 509 to 807 of the family's 1533-position model. The record is from RNAcentral.
CAGUAGCCACGGUAAUACAAAGGGUGCGAGCGUUAAUCGGAUUUACUGGGCGUAAAGCGUGCGUAGGCGGCUUCUUAAGUCGGAUGUGAAAUCCCUGAGCUUAACUUAGGAAUUGCAUUCGAUACUGGGAAGCUAGAGUAUGGGAGAGGAUGGUAGAAUUCCAGGUGUAGCGGUGAAAUGCGUAGAGAUCUGGAGGAAUACCGAUGGCGAAGGCAGCCAUCUGGCAUAAUACUGACGCUGAGGUACGAAAGCAUGGGGAGCAAACAGGAUUAGAUACCCCGGUAGUCCCUGUCUCUUAUAC